Molecule: ribosomal RNA, 253 nt
Filed under: uncultured bacterium
Lineage: Bacteria
Description: partial 16S ribosomal RNA
Rfam family: Bacterial small subunit ribosomal RNA
Source: RNAcentral
GACAGAGGUCCCGAGCGUUGUUCGGAUUCAUUGGGCGUAAAGGGUGUGUAGGAGGUCGGGUAAGUCAGGUGUGAAAUCUCACAGCUUAACUGUGAAACUGCGCUUGAUACUGCUCGGCUAGAGGAUCGGAGGGGGUAACGGAAUUUAUGGUGUAGCAGUGAAAUGCGUAGAUAUCAUAAGGAACACCGGUGGCGAAGGCGGUUACCUGGAAGAUUCCUGACGCUGAGGUGCGAAAGCCAGGGGAGCAAACGGG